Molecule: ribosomal RNA, 253 nt
Filed under: uncultured bacterium
Lineage: Bacteria
Description: partial 16S ribosomal RNA
Rfam family: Bacterial small subunit ribosomal RNA
Source: RNAcentral
UACGGGGGGGGCAAGCGUUGUUCGGAAUUACUGGGCGUAAAGGGCUCGUAGGUGGCCAACUAAGUCAGACGUGAAAUCCCUCGGCUUAACCGGGGAACUGCGUCUGAUACUGGAUGGCUUGAGACUGGGAGAGGGAUGCGGAAUUCCAGGUGUAGCGGUGAAAUGCGUAGAUAUCUGGAGGAACACCGGUGGCGAAGGCGGCAUCCUGGACCAACACUGACACUGAGGAGCGAAAGCCAGGGGAGCAAACGGG